This 568-nucleotide ribosomal RNA is filed under the name uncultured bacterium. RNAcentral describes it as "bacterial SSU rRNA". It matches the Rfam family "Bacterial small subunit ribosomal RNA", at positions 338 to 916 of the family's 1533-position model. The record is from RNAcentral.
CCUACGGGAGGCAGCAGUGGGGAAUAUUGCACAAUGGGCGAAAGCCUGAUGCAGCGACGCCGCGUGAGGGAUGACGGCCUUCGGGUUGUAAACCUCUUUCAGCAGGGAAGAAGCGAAAGUGACGGUACCUGCAGAAGAAGCGCCGGCUAACUACGUGCCAGCAGCCGCGGUAAUACGUAGGGCGCAAGCGUUGUCCGGAAUUAUUGGGCGUAAAGAGCUCGUAGGCGGCUUGUCACGUCGGGUGUGAAAGCCCGGGGCUUAACCCCGGGUCUGCAUUCGAUACGGGCUAGCUAGAGUGUGGUAGGGGAGAUCGGAAUUCCUGGUGUAGCGGUGAAAUGCGCAGAUAUCAGGAGGAACACCGGUGGCGAAGGCGGAUCUCUGGGCCAUUACUGACGCUGAGGAGCGAAAGCGUGGGGAGCGAACAGGAUUAGAUACCCUGGUAGUCCACGCCGUAAACGGUGGGAACUAGGUGUUGGCGACAUUCCACGUCGUCGGUGCCGCAGCUAACGCAUUAAGUUCCCCGCCUGGGGAGUACGGCCGCAAGGCUAAAACUCAAAUGAAUUGACGG